This is a non-coding RNA of Callorhinchus milii (elephant shark), 396 nucleotides long. The record is from the annotation of a RefSeq genome assembly. Lineage: Eukaryota; Metazoa; Chordata; Chondrichthyes; Chimaeriformes; Callorhinchidae.
AUGACAGCUCUGUGCCAGUUACUGAUAGCCAUCCUCACCAUAGCCAAAGUCUCCGGGCAAGAUGCAGUCACCCAAUAUCCUCCCGAGAUAACAGAUUUUGAAGGAGAGAACGUGACAAUGAACUGCAGUUAUUCCACAAUAAACGCUGCCUUCUGGUACAGGCAAAAUCCAAAUGGAGCUCCUCAGUACCUGUUCAGGAUAUAUUCCUCUGGAAAGGUAGACAGUCCUCCUGACCGUUUCACUGCCGAGCUGAUCAAGGAGAAAAAAGUAAUUAACCUGCAGAUACUUAGUGAUGUUGUGGGUGACAGCGCUGUGUAUUACUGUGCCCUGGACCCCACACUGUCACAGGAAGACAGGUUCCCCGUACAAAAACUCAGCAAACACUCAAGAACUUAG